This 301-nucleotide ribosomal RNA is filed under the name uncultured bacterium. RNAcentral describes it as "partial 16S ribosomal RNA". It matches the Rfam family "Bacterial small subunit ribosomal RNA", at positions 509 to 807 of the family's 1533-position model. The record is from RNAcentral.
CAGCAGCCACGGUAAUACGAAGGGUGCAAGCGUUACUCGGAAUUACUGGGCGUAAAGCGUGCGUAGGUGGUGGUUUAAGUCCGUUGUGAAAGCCCUGGGCUCAACCUGGGAAUUGCGGUGGAUACUGGGUCACUAGAGUGUGGUAGAGGAUAGUGGAAUUUCCGGUGUAGCAGUGAAAUGCGUAGAGAUCGGAAGGAACAUCUGUGGCGAAGGCGACUAUCUGGGCCAACACUGACACUGAGGCACGAAAGCGUGGGGAGCAAACAGGAUUAGAUACCCGCGUAGUCCCUGUCUCUUAUAC